Molecule: transfer RNA, 77 nt
Filed under: Lentibacillus salicampi
Lineage: Bacteria; Bacillati; Bacillota; Bacilli; Caryophanales; Bacillaceae
Description: tRNA-Met
Rfam family: tRNA
About the family: Transfer RNA (tRNA) molecules are approximately 80 nucleotides in length. Their secondary structure includes four short double-helical elements and three loops (D, anti-codon, and T loops). Further hydrogen bonds mediate the characteristic L-shaped molecular structure. tRNAs have two regions of fundamental functional importance: the anti-codon, which is responsible for specific mRNA codon recognition, and the 3' end, to which the tRNAs corresponding amino acid is attached (by aminoacyl-tRNA synthetases). tRNAs cope with the degeneracy of the genetic code in two manners: having more than one tRNA (with a specific anti-codon) for a particular amino acid; and 'wobble' base-pairing, i.e. permitting non-standard base-pairing at the 3rd anti-codon position.
Source: RNAcentral
GGCGGCGUAGCUCAGCUGGCGAGAGCGUACGGUUCAUACCCGUAAGGUCGGGGGUUCGAUCCCCUCUGCCGCCAUCA